GUACACUACGGGUAUCUCUGAAAGUGUCUGUUGGGUUGACACGGAUCGAGACUGGGAUUUGUCACUCCGUAUGACGGAGAGGUAUCUCUGGGCCCACUCGGUAAUGCAUCAUCAUAAUGAGCUCAAUGUGACUAAGGAGUUAGCCACGGGAUCAUGCAUGACGGUACGAGUAAAGUGACUUGCCGGUAACGAGAUUGAACAAGGUAUUGGGAUACCGACGAUCGAAUCUCGGGCAAGUAACGUACCGAUUGACAAAGGGAAUUGUAUACGGGAUUGAUUGAAUCCUCGACAUCGUGGUUCAUCUGAUGAGAUCAUCGUGGAACAUGUGGGAGCCAACAUGGGUAUCCAGAUCCCGCUAUUGGUUAUUGACCGGAGAGGCAUCUCGGUCAUGUCUGCAUGUCUCCCGAACCCGUAGGGUCUACACACUUAAGGUUCGGUGACGCUAGGGUUGUAGAGAUAUUAGUAUGCGGAAACCCGAAAGUUGUUCGGAGUCCCGGACGUCACGAGGAGUUCCGGAAUGGUCCGGAGGUGAAGAAUUAUAUAUAGGAAGUCCAGUUUCGGCCACCGGAAAAGUUUCGGGGGUUAUCGGUAUUGUACCGGGACCACCGGAAGGGUCCAGAGGGUCCACCGGGUGGGGCCACCUAUCCCGGAGGGCCCCAUGGGCUGAAGUGGGAAGGGAACCAGCCCUUAGUGGGCUGGGGCGCCCCCCUUGGGCCUCCCCCUGCACCUAGGGUUGGAAACCCUGGGGGUGGGGGGCGCUCCACUUGGCUUGGGGGGGAAGCCACCCCCCUCUCCCCUUGGCCGCCCCCCCCUUGGAGAUCUGAUCUCCCAGGGCCGGCGCUCCCCCCCAGGGGGCCUAUAUAUAGUGGGGGGGGGAGGGAGGGCAGCAGCACCACAGCCCCUGGCGCCUCCCUCUUCCCCUGCAACACCUCUCCCUCUCGCAGAAGCUUGGCGAAGCCCUGCCGAGAUCCCCGCUACUUCCACCACCACGCCGUCGUGCUGCUGGAUCUUCAUCAACCUCUCCUUCCCCCUUGCUGGAUCAAGAAGGAGGAGACGUCGCUGCUCCGUACGUGUGUUGAACGCGGAGGUGCCGUCCGUUCGGCACUCGGUCAUCGGUGAUUUGGAUCACGGCGAGUACGACUCCAUCAACCCCGUUCAUUGGAACGCUUCCGCUCGCGAUCUACAAGGGUAUGUAGAUGCACUCCUUGCCCCUCGUUGCUAGUAUACUCCAUAGAUGGAUCUUGGUGAUGCGUAUGAAAUUUUAAAAUUCUGCUACGAUCCCCAACAGAUUAUUAGCGUUUGUUUUGGUUGUGUGAGUCAUAAUUGCGAUUUUCUCUAUUUGUAACCAGUCAAUGGGGGCGGUUCUGCGAUGCUGAGACACGCAUGUUGGGGGUUCGCAACAGUAGUGUGUGGGGGGUAUUUGUCAGACUGUUGUGUUGCUUCAUACUUUGGGAGUGGUCCGCAUGUCAUGUUGGGCUUUUCCUUCUUAGCCUCUCGUAAAUAACUCUGUAAACAUUUUUUAGCAUGAUUUCCAUUAACUAACAGGGCAAUCUUCUUUCAUCUACGUUUUCGAAAAAAAUGGAACAAAGCAAAUCAAGGAGAACACAUAUGCUAAUGCCACCUAGGUGCCUCACGUAGCCGCCGCCUCCACUCCCAGGCUUAGGCUGUCUCCGCCUCCCGCCGGUCCACCUUGUCCCUGGUGACCUUAGGGGCAUGGAGGUGCGGGGGAUCCCAACCCUUGCCGGUGGGAUGGCUCCGUUUUUAGAUGUUAUUUUGAGUUUUGUUAAGGUUUGUGUCCUGCUUAGGAAGGUGAGGUGGUGGCGGCUCCCUGAAGAUGGAAUAAGGUUUUCCCCGCCCAGCCCAGUUUCGGUGGUGCGUCUAGCACCGUAGGUGGGUGUGUGAAGAUGUGUCUCCGCCGGAUCUAUUUUGGUGGAUUUGUUCGGAUCUGUUUGUUGUUCGUUGUACUGUCAUGAUUGAAAAUGAAUAGAUUGAAAGUUUUCCAAAAAAACACAUAUACUACUACAUAUGCAAGGGCACAACACAUCGAAGAACGGCGGCGGCUCCCAACAUUCCCGAGCAGCAGUAGCAGCUGCCCAUGGGCAGGCGAGACCACGGCCCACUGCUUCUUCACUUGUUACAACCGGGAUUAAAAUAAAGCAAAAGCAGACAGUGGUUUUGGAAUCCUUGGCCAAAACCGCGGCAACGCUUCCUGCGAGCUAGCCAGCCAAUGAGCCUCCCGGUUUCGCGAUGCACGGCUCACGGAUGUUCACGCGCACGGACGCACCCACCCCCCACCAGUACCCCGGCGGCCAGCGGCACAUGGAACCUGGCACCUACCGGCGGCUACGGCUGGUUCCGCCUGGUCGCCGAGCUGUCCCGGGUAACAACCAGCCCUUCCUUGUCACUGCAAAUUUUAAUUCACCUAAUUUAGGAUUUGUUUGAAGUAGCUUGGACCUGGUCCAAAAUUACAAGGCUAUAAAUAUGGGUGUGUGUAGGGCACACCUAGUUAUUGCACAUCCAAGUGACUUAAUCAAACAAAAAACAAAAAAAAAAAGAUAAAAGAAAAUGCUCGCACGAAUCUUCAUGUAAAAUCAACGAUAUGAGACUUAGAUGUGCAAUACUUAGGGGCACAUCUAGAUGUGUUUUAGCAAAACUGUACAAAAAAUCUUGAUACACAUGGAAAUUACCAAAAAAAAUCGUUGAAACUUUGAAACCUUCACAAAAAAAGGGAAGUUUGUUGGCAUCAUUCUUUGGCUUGGGAAGCGGAAGCGGAAGGAACCACUCUGCCUCCUUGAAAAAUUAAGUAGAUUUUACUAUACCGAAACACGAAAGAGUACCCCACUUUCUAGAUUUUCCGUAUUUUUUGUGAGAUCCAAAAGUUUUUCGUGAUCAAAUUUAAAACAUAUCUCGUCCACCGUCGCCGGAUGUGGGUUGCUCUCCCAUUCGGCCUCCCCGGCGGUAGGUGGGGAGGACUUUGGUGCCCAGGACGAUGGUAUUCUCAAUAAGCAUGCUCGGCUCUAGUCCCAUCUCAACAACACUGAUGGCGGCGUGCGGGAGAUAGGGGUUGUGUCUCCCAUUGCCCCCUUCAUGUCGGCAGGCUUAGGAUUGUGGGGUGAUGCCAGUGAGGCGAUAAUGACGACAUUGCUUCGUUAUUUGAUCUCCAUCUUUAGCUUUGUUGCUAUAGCAAGCGCUCCUACACCAUCAGCGAGUUUGGGAUGAACAUUUUCGUCUUCUCCAAAAGUGUCGAUGAUGGUGUUUCUCGGACGACGGGUGCUUCAGAGCAAGGUAUGUUGUUGGAGACUUGGAGGCACGCGAAUUCAAUCUUGUCCCUCAUAUUGUCAAACAGAGUCUCACGCUCCAACAAGCAUGGGGAUAGAACCUCGUCAACAUGCCACAACUCGCCGCUUGCAGGGGUCGCUUAAUCAGCUGAUGUAGGACCGCAUGAAUCGACCAGAGGGUGAAUGGGGGAUUUUAACAAUUUCUUUGAAAACAUCAGUUCUUUGAAGAAAAUAGUGCAAAAGAACUACAGUAGAACAAUAAUGAAGGGAACUGAAGCUAGACAAUAGCCAACUCAGAGAUAAGCGAUGCAAAACGACUAAGUUAAGCAAAAUGAGCAAACUAGAUAGAUAGAUAACCGUGAACUGAACAUAGCUAAGAUGGUUAGGUUCCUUGUGAUGGAACCGGCCCACUAGGGUUCAACUCUAGGACUUGGAAGUGGUACUCGCAUUUUUCUAUUCAUUCUUUCCGAUGAUGUUCGUUCAAUGAAAGGAGGCGUUCUUGUCGACUACGAGGAGUCGGUGGUGACUUCGACGAGACACACCCAACAACAUGUUGUUGCCAGCUAUCAUAACGAUCGAAAAUUUGAACUCAAUUCACCGGGUUCCUCGGAACCUAGCUAGGAGAACAUUGACGACAGGUUUUCUAACUCCUCUGUGAAGAAUUCUAACUCGAAUAUUUCUAAGAAUCACCUUCAACACGAGAGCUAGAAAUCUUGCCUGAAAGAAGAUUUCCAGUCCUUCACUGACAAGUGUAGAUAGCUUCGAUUGAGCACACAUGAAGACUUUCUUUCCUGCUUCACCUUGAGGCCCCUUAAUAGUACAUUUUGCAUAUGAAUCCAAAAAGAAUAAAGGAUAGUGACAAACAAUUACACUUCUUCAAGCUUAUCUUCAAAGGGAAACCCGGAUUCUUGAAUGUUACCACAACCUUUUUAGGGGUCAUAGCCAAAUUCCUAGUGACUUUCACUUGUGUAUACUCACAAACUCAUUUGUCCCUUAACCAUUUUUGCCAUUAACCAUUCAAACCCGAUGAGAGGGCACUAGAUGCACUUACAACUCAUAAAGUAGUUCAUGCGAUGGUGUUGUGGUAGAUCUAGCUAGGCGUGGCAGGUGUUUGCCUUCGUACUUCCUGGUGUUGCUUCGACGUUGGCGACGAGGUGAUGUGCGCCCAUGGUGUCGUGUGUAGGGAUUUUUACGGGUUCUUUUGCAAUUUUACAUUAUUCGGAUCAUUUUAUACUUUCUUGGAAAAGGCAUCUUAUAUCUGAUAAAUAUCAAAGAAAACAAUAGCGAGUGCAAAAGAAAGGAAACACGACACAAAACGACUAGCAAAAAAAGGUUGCAUGAAAAGAUCAUACUGGUCAUCAUCUUUCUUCAAUUGUACGCCACCCUUGAAUUUUGAAAAAAAUGAACCGGCAUUAAGAGAAAGGGGCACCUGCAAACUCCCUCAGACCAAGCUUUUGAAGACCGUAAUAGUCAUUUACCAUUAGAAACGAAAGCUAAUAACCGCUGAAGGAACAUCAGUUGAGGCCUCACUCUAUGCAACUUUCAAUCACCAGUACAGAGGGUUGAAAAAAAACCCGGAUCAUAUACCACACAACAAAACGAAAGAAGAGCUCGAAGCCGUUGCACCACCAAGAGCCAAUGAACUCCUUCCAUUAAUUGAUACACCAAUUAUCAAGAUCCAGAGAGAACCAACAGAUCUAGCAACCCCCUCACAGGCCUGUUGUCAACCCUAGAUCAAACAUCGUCAAAGGUGGAGAGAAGCCAUCAAAGAGACUUUAUUCCAACGCACCAUCAUCGCCGCCACCUCACCGAUGGCCCAAAAAAAUCUAAUGGAGACAACGAUCUACAAGAAGUAAGAAAAACAAAAGGGCGUGUUCCACUCCUCUGACCGUCAGACAAAAGAGAGGAGGGGGGCCAAGGCGGUGGUGUGGAGGGUACCAUGGGUGGCGUGGCAGCUAGGGCUACGAGUCUUGUAUACCUUUGCUCUCUAACGCGUUAGUGCAUUAUGAUGUUUUUUUUUCAAAAACACCCCAUUAUAUUAAUUAAAGAAUAAUGUUCUUACAAUCAUUCAUUACAUCAUGCGCGCGCCACACAAGGCGGAACACUAUUAAGCAAAAUACCACCCAUUUUACUAUGAAAACUAAACUUAGCAAUCUCAUGGGCCACCACAUUGGCCUGACGAUUCACCUUAACCAGCCUCACACUUUGCAACAAAUUAGAGAUGCGGAGCGCUAUCCUCUUUAGAUCCACGAGCGCGGACUUGUCAAGAUUACCACUCCGCAAGGAAAGACACCACAAACGCACAGUCAGUCUCUAGGAUAAUAGCGAGUGAAGGGUCAAACCAAUAUAGAGACCGGCGAGGCACACCUAAUUUAGCUCCGCUUCAUCGACGCUCGUACACCGCCCAAUAUAAUCCCACGAUGAUAAGAUGACAUUCCCCGUAGAAUUCCUUGCCACAAUGCCCACAUUGGCAGCCUUCAAACUCUCCACAUAACUAGCGUCAACAUUAAUUUUAAUACACUCAUCUGGAGGGGGACGCCAUCCCACAUCUGCAUUAGAGACAUUGAGCGCCUUCCAUAAUUCUUGAGCCUCCCCUUUUCCUUUAACAAAGACCACUUCAUCCAUAACACGACAUGAGGAGAAAGAAGUCCAGAAGUUAACCACAAAGUUAGCAGAUCCGGAGACGGAUUGCUUCCCAUUCCCAAAAAUAAUAUCGUUCCUCAAAUGUCAAGCUCUCCAAAAUAAAAAUAGCACUUGCUCACGUAGAGGGGAUGUGAGUUGAUCCAACAAGACUAGCAGCCAAUCCGAUCCCGUGAAUCUGAAAGCCUCUUCUCCUGGGAUAUCCCACACGUUCCUCAAAGUCACUCGUAGCGCUCUAGCCUUAGUGCAGGACACUAGAGCAUGGUAAGAAGUUUACUCCUCCACUCCAAAUAGAGCACAUACCCAAAGUGGUUUGAUGAUGCCUGACUCUAUUCACUUGUAUCGCUAAACUAUUGGAAGCGGCACGCCACCCAAAAAUCCGAAUUUUCUUAGGAACUUUGGUUUUCCAAAUUAAAUCCCGCAACCUUCUAUCCCCAUUAUCAACACUACUAGACUGACCCAUUUCAUCCUUCUGGUCUUUGAGGCUGGUGGCAAAAAUGUACGCACUCUUAACAGAAAACAUACCGUUUUUCUCAAAGUGCCAGACAAUGAAAUCACCCUCUUUCGAGGCCUGGACACGAACAUUUAAGAUUUCCUCCACAUCAUGGGGAUAGAAGACAGUGGCGGAGCCAAGAUUUUUUACAUGGGUAUGCGGAACUAUAAUUUUUUUCUAUCAUAUAAUUAUAGUAUAAGACAUAAAAGUUCAGGAUGACCACGAUGAAACUACAAUUUGUCUUUCUAGCAACAAUCUCCAAUAGGUCUGCUGCCAAGCCAAUUUAGAUCUUCUCUCAAGUCUUAAUAAUAAUAAUUAAUAACUAAACUAAUGCAAGUCCUGUCACUCGUCCGUGUCGUGCACUCAGCAGCCUAGGAGGGAAGGAGGCAGGGCUGGUAGUAUAAAAGGCAUGUUGCAAAUAUUAAGGUCUAUUGAUACGGUAGCAUCCCAAUUCCCAAGCAAAUAUUUAAACCCAGGCGGGUAUGGAAUGAAGCGGGAGGGCACGGGAUGGCCAUGCAUUUCGUUUUUCCUGAGUUCUACACGUGAAAAGACUGCUAUCACACAUAUAGAUGUAUAUAUAGGCAUAUACACUGAUUUCCUUUUGCAAAAAAUAUUGGGUAUGCGUUGCAUACCCUUGAAUUAGUCUAGCUCCGCCCCUGAUAGAAGAGGUGCCUGAUCAAAUUUCCAUCCCAGCUUCUCGUCCCACUGAGAAAUAAAUCGGACACCCAUUUGAGCCCAGUCCUAUUCAUUUUUGCUGAAAUUUUAGGACCAGGGAACCUGGGAAGCCAGUUAUCUCUUCAUAUAUUUAUACUUGUCCCAUCGACCACCCUCCAAAUAGCACCUUUUUUCAGCAGCUCUAGACCAUGCAUGAUUCCUUGUCAAGAAACAGACGUAUUCUGCGGAAAAACAGUGUCCAGAAGGUUCCCAUUCAGAUAAUACUUGGCUUUCAUCAAUCUAGCACAUAAGGAAUCUGGAUUUAUUAACAAUCUCCAAGCCUGUUUAGCAAGAAGCGUUUAAUUAAACAUCCUAAGAUUACGAAACCCCAUGACCUAGACAGAAAGCUCUGAAUUUGCACUGGACAUUGUCGUUCUAAAAUUGCACGUCCUGCUGCUCCGAAUUUGCGCACGACAUUGCCAAUCCGCACAGUAGCCAGAAUAGGCUUCAGGCCUGGGAAAAUCACCAGCCCCUCGUACGUAACCACCGCCCUCCCCCAAAUUUAGGCUCCGCGACCCCUCUUCCCUCAUAAAGCACCGCCCCCUUGCACAUGCGACCGUCGUCCGUCCGCACGUCGUCCCUCCCGCGUUCCGACCUCCGUCCGCGCGCCCCCGAGAGGCGUCCUCUUCGCCGAGAAAUGCCGGCGAGGAGGGUGGCCAUCGAUCUGCUCCGGAACGCCUCCCGCGAGGCCUUCCAGGCGGCCGUCUCCACCAUGCUGAAGCCGCCCACCUCCAAGCCCCUCCACCACGACCACCGGUGAAGAGGCAGCCAGCGCGGCGGUCGGGCUCUCGGAACAACGCAUCCGCUUCGCCUCGCAGCAAGCAACCCCAGCAACCGCGUACGUGCGUGCGUACGCACGGGGCGGCAUGCAACGCGACGUGUCUCCACCCACUACGUACCUUCUUCCUGCGAUCCAUGGCUCCGGAUUGGACGGACGCCGUGUCUCCGGUAGACGAAGCUCCGUCGUCAUAUUCUAUGUGUGUGCGUUUGGCUCCACUGUGCGUCACUCCCGUGUACUACAAUGUUAAGCGUGAAGACGUACGUAGUGUACCAUACAUAUACAUGGAUAAUAUAUCUCCAAUGGCAAGGAGGAGCCAUGCAUACACCUCGUCAGCAAAGUGUGCCUUGUGGUAGCUACGAGGGGAGCCCGGUCAAGGUCGCCGGCCCUCGCCGGUAUCGUCUCGCUGUCACUCCCAAAUAUACAAUGCUCACCGAACGAACGACCGCAGUUGGGAACGUGGGAGUGGGAUCGAUAAGAAUCGGCGAUGUGCCCCGGGUCAAUGGCAGGGCCGAACGAGCCAACGAGCGUAACGCCAUUUGCAGCCGGCUAGC
RNAcentral lists this long non-coding RNA (8457 nucleotides) under Triticum aestivum (bread wheat). RNAcentral describes it as "long non-coding RNA (TAES_LNC023677)". The record is from RNAcentral. Lineage: Eukaryota; Viridiplantae; Streptophyta; Magnoliopsida; Poales; Poaceae.